CAGGGGGUAUUUUAUUUAAAAUGUUAAUUUUGGGGAUUAAUGAAGUGGUGUUUGGCGCCGUUCCUCUGA
Molecule: transfer RNA, 69 nt
Filed under: Nasutitermes sp. SC TB-2017
Lineage: Eukaryota; Metazoa; Arthropoda; Insecta; Blattodea; Termitidae
Also listed under: 1 other name
Description: tRNA-Pro
Source: RNAcentral